AGAGUUUGAUUCUGGCUCAGGAUAAACGCUGGCGGCAUGCCUAACACAUGCAAGUCGAACGGAGCGCCUUGGAAGGAGACUUCGGUCAACGGAAGAGGAGGCUUAGUGGCGGACGGGUGAGUAACGCGUGAGGAACCUGCCUCAGAGUGGGGGAUAACACACCGAAAGGUGUGCUAAUACCGCAUAACAUAUGAGAGGGGCAUCCUUUUCAUAUCAAAGAUUUAUUGCUCUGAGAUGGCCUCGCGUCCAAUUAGCUAGUUGGUGAGGUAACGGCCCACCAAGGCGACGAUUGGUAGCCGGACUGAGAGGUUGAACGGCCACAUUGGGACUGAGACACGGCCCAGACUCCUACGGGAGGCAGCAGUGGGGAAUAUUGCACAAUGGGGGGAACCCUGAUGCAGCAAUGCCGCGUGAAGGAUGAAGGUUUUCGGAUUGUAAACUUCUUUUGUACGGGACGAAGAAAGUGACGGUACCGUAAGAAUAAGCCACGGCUAACUACGUGCCAGCAGCCGCGGUAAUACGUAGGUGGCAAGCGUUAUCCGGAUUUACUGGGUGUAAAGGGCGAGUAAGCGGGAUU
RNAcentral lists this ribosomal RNA (577 nucleotides) under uncultured bacterium. RNAcentral describes it as "bacterial SSU rRNA". It matches the Rfam family "Bacterial small subunit ribosomal RNA", at positions 8 to 582 of the family's 1533-position model. The record is from RNAcentral.